Molecule: unclassified non-coding RNA, 796 nt
Filed under: Homo sapiens (human)
Lineage: Eukaryota; Metazoa; Chordata; Mammalia; Primates; Hominidae
Description: mutS homolog 5 (ENSG00000230961.10)
Source: RNAcentral
GCGGUCGGUCAGCGGGGCGUUCUCCCACCUGUAGCGACUCAGAGCCUCCAAGCUCAUGGCCUCCUUAGGAGCGAACCCAAGGAGGACACCGCAGGGACCGAGACCUGGGGCGGCCUCCUCCGGCUUCCCCAGCCCGGCCCCAGUGCCGGGCCCCAGGGAGGCCGAGGAGGAGGAAGUCGAGGAGGAGGAGGAGCUGGCCGAGAUCCAUCUGUGUGUGCUGUGGAAUUCAGGAUACUUGGGCAUUGCCUACUAUGAUACUAGUGACUCCACUAUCCACUUCAUGCCAGAUGCCCCAGACCACGAGAGCCUCAAGCUUCUCCAGAGAGUUCUGGAUGAGAUCAAUCCCCAGUCUGUUGUUACGAGUGCCAAACAGGAUGAGAAUAUGACUCGAUUUCUGGGAAAGCUUGCCUCCCAGGAGCACAGAGAGCCUAAAAGACCUGAAAUCAUAUUUUUGCCAAGUGUGGAUUUUGGUCUGGAGAUAAGCAAACAACGCCUCCUUUCUGGAAACUACUCCUUCAUCCCAGACGCCAUGACUGCCACUGAGAAAAUCCUCUUCCUCUCUUCCAUUAUUCCCUUUGACUGCCUCCUCACAAUCCCCUCCCAGGUUCGAGCACUUGGAGGGCUGCUGAAGUUCCUGGGUCGAAGAAGAAUCGGGGUUGAACUGGAAGACUAUAAUGUCAGCGUCCCCAUCCUGGGCUUUAAGAAAUUUAUGUUGACUCAUCUGGUGAACAUAGAUCAAGACACUUACAGGAAUCCUCAACAGAUGCCACUGUAAGUGGGGAGAGAAGCUGCUCAG